GUUCAGUGACCAGCCAGAGGAAGACGACACGACAGCAUCCUCCUCAGGGGAUAGGUACUCUGUAUAAAGUCAAUUAGUACACACCUGGGCCCACUAAUUGCUUUGUGACUUCCUCUAUAUAGGUGUGCCAGGAGAGCAGCUGGUGGAGAAUUGGGAGUAGAGACGGGGACAUGUCAGGCCGUCUGAUUUUCCUACCUCAUAGAAAGCUUAUUUUACUGGGGCACCUUGGCUCUCUGUUAACCAAGGACACUUCGCACACAUCCCACUGUGAGAAAAGACAUUGAACAACAAAUCUUGUCCUUUCCACGGCAAGCAAACCGGUAUUCCUGGAUGAAGGGGGGCGUGGAUCAGGAAUACCUCAGCCCAGACCUAAAUCUGCAGAUCUGAAUCUGAAGAUUCUGCUACAAUGUGUGUGUGGCGUGAGGGCAUUGCACACAGAGGGUCCAUUGACGUGGCAAGUUGUGUAUUGAAGUGGGUCCAAACACAUUUUUCCACUCUAACAAAGCCAAAAGAAGUCAAGCUCAUCAUAUUCAGUGACCGGUGUUGUGGUCAGAAUAACAACUGGUGCAUGUUGAAUUUGAUGUCUAUGCUGGUAUCCAUGGGCUACUUCACUCAGGUUGAACAGAGGUUCAUGGUGUCCUUCCUUCCAUAUGAUCUGUCUUUUUCCGCUAUUGAGAAGAGAUACAAGGUGUCAACUCUGCAUACCGCUGAUGUGAGACAGAUGACCCUGGAGUCUAGGCAACAGAAUCCAUUCAAGGUCAUGCAGUGGGCUGCUUAACAAUGGAACCUCUACACCAGACAGAGCCACAGUCAAUACGAUUGAUGGAGGUCAUGGUUGGUCACUAAACCAAAGAAUGGAGCAAGACCCCCAGCGCCAUCGUUCUCCAAGGCCUUCCCCAGAGACAACGAGAAUCCUUCGCCAAUCCAGAAAGAACCAGGACCUCAUGACGAUGAGGAGCAAUUUGCCUACUGCUGCACGGUCCUUCUAUCAGGCACUUGAAGUGAAGCCUCGGGACAUUUUUGGCAUACAUGUUGGUAGCAUUGAUGUCACUUCAACUAGAAGUUGAUAUAAUUCCUCACUUGGUAUAUUAACGGAUUUGGGUGGUUUCCGUUGUCAGGGGCCAUAGGCUAUUUGUAUCAAUCCAAUUAGUAGGUUAGAAGUGUUCCUCCUCUGUUCUUUCAUUCUGCAUGAUACUUUGCCCUCACAAAGUUGUCACUUACCACAAGUAUUUUCCAGCAAAGCAUAGAAAAAGCUUUUAUUUUGUUCUACUCAAUGUGGCUCUCUAAACAGGUGCCCGGCCUUGAUACAAAGUUGCUAUGUUUAGCCAUUAAGGCUGGUCUAAGUGUUACUUUUGUGUUUUUAGUUUGUAUAGUAGUGGUUUAUAUUGUUGAAUUAUUUUGUUAUACGUCUAUACAUUUUUCUACCUGAAGUGUUGCUUCACCAACCGCUGAAUAUAACGUUUAUUGUUAAUAGAAUAGCUUCAAUUCAUUGGGGCAUGAACGGUGUUGAAAGAGUUCUACAGGGAUGCUGGCUCAAUGGAGAGAGAUGGCUGGUGGACUAUUCUUGAUACUUUUUUUUA
Non-coding RNA from Oncorhynchus mykiss (rainbow trout), 1580 nucleotides. The record is from RefSeq and is a predicted model, not a curated record. Lineage: Eukaryota; Metazoa; Chordata; Actinopteri; Salmoniformes; Salmonidae.